Molecule: ribosomal RNA, 253 nt
Filed under: uncultured bacterium
Lineage: Bacteria
Description: partial 16S ribosomal RNA
Rfam family: Bacterial small subunit ribosomal RNA
Source: RNAcentral
UACGUAGGGUGCGAGCGUUAAUCGGAAUUACUGGGCGUAAAGCGUGCGCAGGCGGUUUUGUAAGCCAGAUGUGAAAUCCCCGGGCUUAACCUGGGAAUGGCAUUUGGGACUGCAAGGCUGGAGUGUGGCAGAGGAGACUGGAAUUCCCGGUGUAGCAGUGAAAUGCAUAGAUAUGACCCGGAACACCGAUUGCGAAGGCAGCCCACUAAGCAACGAUCGACGCUGAGGCACGAAAGCGUGGGGAUCAAACAGG